Molecule: unclassified non-coding RNA, 329 nt
Filed under: soil metagenome
Description: partial contains 5.8S ribosomal RNA, internal transcribed spacer 2, and large subunit ribosomal RNA
Rfam family: 5.8S ribosomal RNA (bases 1-120)
Source: RNAcentral
GAUGAAGAACGUAGCGAAAUGCGAUAAGUAAUGUGAAUUGCAGAAUUCAGUGAAUCAUCGAAUCUUUGAACGCACAUUGCGCCCUCUGGUAUUCCGGGGGGCAUGCCUGUUCGAGCGUCAUUAUAACCACUCAAGCUCUCGCUUGGUAUUGGGGUUCGCGGUUUCGCGGCCCCUAAAAUCAGUGGCGGUGCCUGUCGGCUCUACGCGUAGUAAUACUUCUCGCGAUUGAGUUCGAUAGGUCUACUUGCCAGUAACCCCCAAUUUUUACAGGUUGACCUCGGAUAAGGUAGGGAUACCCGCUGAACUUAAGCAUAUCAAUAAGCGGAGGA